UGGGGAAUUUUGGACAAUGGGCGAAAGCCUGAUCCAGCAAUGCCGCGUGUGUGAAGAAGGCCUUCGGGUUGUAAAGCACUUUUGUCCGGAAAGAAAUCCUUGGCUCUAAUACAGUCGGGGGAUGACGGUACCGGAAGAAUAAGCACCGGCUAACUACGUGCCAGCAGCCGCGGUAAUACGUAGGGUGCAAGCGUUAAUCGGAAUUACUGGGCGUAAAGCGUGCGCAGGCGGUUUGCUAAGACCGAUGUGAAAUCCCCGGGCUCAACCUGGGAACUGCAUUGGUGACUGGCAGGCUAGAGUAUGGCAGAGGGGGGUAGAAUUCCACGUGUAGCAGUGAAAUGCGUAGAGAUGUGGAGGAAUACCGAUGGCGAAGGCAGCCCCCUGGGCCAAAUACUGACGCUCAUGCACGAAAGCGUGGGGAGCAAACAGGAUUAGAUACCCUGGUAGUCCACGCCCUAAAACGAUGUCAACUAGUUGUUGGGGAUUCAUUUCCUUAGUAACGUAGCUAACGCGUGAAGUUGACCGCCUGGGGAGU
This 535-nucleotide ribosomal RNA is filed under the name uncultured bacterium. RNAcentral describes it as "partial 16S ribosomal RNA". It matches the Rfam family "Bacterial small subunit ribosomal RNA", at positions 355 to 881 of the family's 1533-position model. The record is from RNAcentral.